This 393-nucleotide long non-coding RNA is filed under the name Panax ginseng (ginseng). RNAcentral describes it as "long non-coding RNA (PGIN_LNC002599)". Lineage: Eukaryota; Viridiplantae; Streptophyta; Magnoliopsida; Apiales; Araliaceae. The record is from RNAcentral.
CAGCUUUGAACAACAUAGGGGGGAUGACCGUAUUCAGGGGCGGUCCUCCUAAAGUGGAGAAAGACUAGGGGAAUAUGGGGUCCAGAUCUUGCGGUGCAUACAGUUUCAGCGGAAGUAGCUGUCCGCUCCCUUGUCCAGUAACCAUUCUGAGUGGGGCUAGAACUUUGACGGGAAAAGCGCCGGGUCCGGGAAAGAAAGGAGUCACACAAAUAGGUGGUGACUUCCUCUACUCGCUUCAGUACAAGAAGGCGGACCUUUUUCCAGCAAGUCGGGUUGCUACCGGGACUACUGUGGAAGCUGGGUGGUUCUGAGGUACCAUCCCCUAGGCUUUCAGUGGCCUAUAGAAGUAGCAUGUCGGGGUGAAGAAGGUGGCUCCAUACCCGGGAAUGUGGG